UGGAGAGAUGGCUGAGUGGUCGAAAGCGGCAGAUUGCUAAUCUGUUGUACGGUUCGAAAGUCCGUACCGAGGGUUCGAAUCCCUCUCUCUCCGU
Molecule: transfer RNA, 94 nt
Filed under: Leptolyngbya sp. O-77
Lineage: Bacteria; Bacillati; Cyanobacteriota; Cyanophyceae; Leptolyngbyales; Leptolyngbyaceae
Description: tRNA-Ser
Rfam family: tRNA
About the family: Transfer RNA (tRNA) molecules are approximately 80 nucleotides in length. Their secondary structure includes four short double-helical elements and three loops (D, anti-codon, and T loops).
Source: RNAcentral